UACGGGGGGAGCAAGCGUUGUUCGGAUUUACUGGGCGUAAAGGGCUCGUAGGCGGCCAACUAAGUCAGACGUGAAAUCCCUCAGCUUAACUGGGGAACUGCGUCUGAUACUGGAUGGCUUGGAUUUGGGAGAGGGAUGCGGAAUUCCAGGUGUAGCGGUGAAAUGCGUAGAUAUCUGGAGGAACACCGGUGGCGAAGGCGGCAUCCUGGACCGACACUGACGCUGAGGAGCGAAAGCCAGGGGAGCAAACGGG
Molecule: ribosomal RNA, 253 nt
Filed under: uncultured bacterium
Lineage: Bacteria
Description: partial 16S ribosomal RNA
Rfam family: Bacterial small subunit ribosomal RNA
Source: RNAcentral